CCUACGGGGGGCAGCAGUCGAGAAUCAUUCACAAAGGGGGAAACCCUGAUGGUGCGACGCCGCGUGGGGGAAUGAAGGUCUUCGGAUUGUAAACCCCUGUCAUGUGGGAGCAAAUUAAAAAGAUAGUACCACAAGAGGAAGAGACGGCUAACUCUGUGCCAGCAGCCGCGGGAAUACAGAGGUCUCAAGCGUAGUUCGGAAUCACUGGGCGUAAAGCGUGCGUAGGCUGUUUCGUAAGUCGUGUGUGAAUGGCGCGGGCUCAACCCGCGGACGGCACAUGAUACUGCGAGACUAGAGUAAUGGAGGGGGAACCGGAAUUCUCGGUGUAGCAGUGAAAUGCGUAGAUAUCGAGAGGAACACUCGUGGCGAAGGCGUGUUCCUGGACAGUAACUGACGCUGAGGCACGAAGGCCAGGGGAGCGAAAGGGAUUAGAUACCCCAGUAGUC
RNAcentral lists this ribosomal RNA (446 nucleotides) under uncultured bacterium. RNAcentral's name for it is "partial 16S ribosomal RNA". It matches the Rfam family "Bacterial small subunit ribosomal RNA", at positions 338 to 795 of the family's 1533-position model. The record is from RNAcentral.